RNAcentral lists this long non-coding RNA (270 nucleotides) under Gossypium barbadense (sea-island cotton). Its description in RNAcentral is "long non-coding RNA (GBAR_LNC004423)". The record is from RNAcentral. Lineage: Eukaryota; Viridiplantae; Streptophyta; Magnoliopsida; Malvales; Malvaceae.
UGACAAAUCCUUAUGUUACGUCGGCGGUGACACUCGUAUGGUUGUUGUUGAUCGCCACACUUCCCUCGCUUCCCUACACCACCGCCUCUCCCUUUCUCUUCUCCGCGGCUGCCCUUUUACUCUCAAGUACCAACUUCCCUCCGAAGACCUCGAUUCUCUCAUCUCCGUUACAACUGAUGAAGACCUCGAGAACAUGAUCGAUGAAUACGACCGAACUUGUUCCCAAACGACGUCGUCCAGCAAGUCCUCUCGUAUUCGCCUCUUUCUUUU